Molecule: long non-coding RNA, 1683 nt
Organism: Physella acuta
Lineage: Eukaryota; Metazoa; Mollusca; Gastropoda; Physidae
Source: RefSeq, a predicted model, not a curated record
CUACACCACUCACAAUUUUGUUUAUUGUUUGCAAGUGGAUUUUCAACAUAUGCAACAAUUCAAAUAUAAGAUCCACAAAAUUUAGACGUAUCUAUAGUCGCGACGAGCUAGCUGAACAAAAGAAACUCAUUCAAUGGGAGAACGCAAUUAUCACAACAUACUUCGACACGGUUCAAAGGAAAGAUGAUGUUAAUGGGAUCUCCCGAAAAGAGUUUGAAAAAUUAUCAAAACACAUAACUGAUCUUCAAAAACAGGUACUGACGACGAAAAAGGAUCGUGAAGAUGCUUAUGAGAUAAGAAGUUAUGACUUAAAGAAACUUAGCCCAAGAAAAGACAAGUCAACAUAUAAAAGAAAAGAAGAGGAAGAAAUAAAAACAAUUGUGUGGCAUAUCAAUAGAGGAAGUGGCAAGGGCAGCGGCAAGGUAAGCGGCACGAGCAGCGGCAAAACGAGCGGCACGAGGAGCUGCAAGAGUAGGGGCAUAGGAAUCGGCAAGAAGGGCGGCAAGGGAAGGAAAGUGGCGCCUUUAAAAAAAGCAAAAACACAUAAACUGAAACAGAACAAAAAUUGAUAAAUAACUACCACACUGGAGCUGUAAUGUUUGGGGAGGAAGGCGCCAAUCUUGCGGUCACCAUAAUUUCUAAUUUGUUGAUUCAUAAAAGCGUCUAUUUACUUCUGUCUGUCUUCUUUUAACGUAGUGUAUAUACUGUUGGAUCUCGAAUAUUACUGAUAGCGUGACCAUCGUAAUACAUGUAGUCGAGACCGAGCUAUAAAAAAAUAAGAGUUUCACAAUAAAAUUAUAUAUGUUUAUCAAAUUAUUAUGGAUUUCCUUUUUUUAGAAAUCGGAGACAUCGUAAAGUACUAUUUUCGGUCCCCGGAAAUAACAUAACAUUUUAAAGUAUCAAGGGAAAAGUAUAUAAGACUUAAGUAGGCCUAUUUCAUUGCGUUAACUUAAUGAAAGGGUAUUAAAUUUCAGAAUAUUAGAAACCAGAAAAACAGUAAAAUACCAUUUUCAGUUAUCGAAGGUCAAUCAGAAUCGAGAGUAAAUCAAGUAUUAGACUUUAUAAUCAUAUAUGAAAUGUAUAUGAAUAUAAGUUUUUAUUUUUAUAAACGAAAUAUUAAUUAAACAGGAGACUUUUCCUGUUAGAAUGUACACACUGAAAUGAAGUAACAGUUUUAGUUAUUGAAAGUCAUUUAAAAGUUGAUAGAAAUCUGCACAUGUAAUCUAACUAGCUGAAUAGUCGUGCUUCGCCACGGUGAAUCAUUUUUAAAUGUACCACCUUCGAUACAGAAAAAAAUCAAAUACAAAAACAAAUGAAAACACAAACAUGAACGAAAAAGUAAACACAAAAGCAAACGCUAUUGCAAACACAAAUACAAACACAAACACAAAUGAAACAUAAAUGUUGAUAUCUUUGACCUGUCAAAAUAGUUUGUGCCUUUAAAUUUUCAACUACGAAUUUUCUCAUUUGAAAACUAUCCACUUUUAAUUUCGUGUGUUUUACAUUUUUGUUUUUUAAUGAGUCUUGAAACAUUUUUCUGAAGAGUACAUAUAUAUUUUAAUUGCUUCUAAGCAUUCUCCUUUAAAUAUGAUGUUCCUUACUUUCUACCUCGAGUUUGUCUUACUUAUUUUAUAUAGUAGAUUUCGUUUUUAUUAAUAAUUAUAUGACAUGGAACACAUUUAA